RNAcentral lists this ribosomal RNA (542 nucleotides) under uncultured bacterium. Its description in RNAcentral is "bacterial SSU rRNA". It matches the Rfam family "Bacterial small subunit ribosomal RNA", at positions 28 to 585 of the family's 1533-position model. The record is from RNAcentral.
GACGAACGCUGGCGGCGUGCUUAAUACAUGCAAGUCGAACGAUCCCGGGACUUCGGUCCCAAUGGGAGAGUGGCGAACGGGUGCGUAACACGUGAGAAACCUGUCCCGAAGAUGGGAAUAGCCCAGGGAAACCUGGAUUAAUACCCAAUACCCUGAGAGCGUCGCAUGGCGCACUUAGGAAAUGUUCCGGCGCUUUGGGAGGGUCUCGCGGCCUAUCAGCUUGUUGGUGAGGUAAAGGCUCACCAAGGCAUCGACGGGUAGCUGGUCUGAGAGGACGAUCAGCCACACUGGGACUGAGACACGGCCCACACUCCUACGGGAGGCAGCAGUAGGGAAUCUUGCGCAAUGGGCGAAAGCCUGACGCAGCAACGCCGCGUGGGGGAAGAAGGCUCUAGGGUCGUAAACCCCUUUCAGCAGGGACGAAAAUGACGGUACCUGCAAAAGAAGCGUCGGCCAACUACGUGCCAGCAGCCGCGGUAAUACGUAGGGCGCAAGCGUUGUCCGGAUUUAUUGGGCGUAAAGGGCUCGUAGGCGGUUUGGUA